This 231-nucleotide ribosomal RNA is filed under the name uncultured bacterium. RNAcentral's name for it is "partial 16S ribosomal RNA". It matches the Rfam family "Bacterial small subunit ribosomal RNA", at positions 118 to 348 of the family's 1533-position model. The record is from RNAcentral.
UGAGCAAUCUGCCCUUCUCAUCGGAAUAAGCGUUGGAAACGACGUCUAAUGCCGAAUACGACCUCCUUUCGCAUGAUCGGAGGUGGAAAGCUCCGGCGGAGAAGGAUGAGCUCGCGGCCUAUCAGCUAGUUGGUGUGGGUAAUGGCCCACAAGGCGACGACGAGUAGCCGGCCUGAGAGGGUGACCGGCCACACUGGGACUGAGACACGGCCCAGACCUCCGUAGGGACGG